CCUACGGGGGGCUGCAGUGGGGAAUCUUGCGCAAUGGGCGAAAGCCUGACGCAGCGACGCCGCGUGGAGGAUGAGGCCCUUCGGGGUGUAAACUCCUGUUGCCCGGGACGAACGCCUGGCUUUGGCCGGGGUGACGGUACCGGGUGAGGAAGCACCGGCUAACUCUGUGCCAGCAGCCGCGGUAAUACAGAGGGUGCGAGCGUUGUCCGGAAUUACUGGGCGUAAAGGGCGCGUAGGCGGCCCCGUAACGCGUGCCGUGAAAGCCCGGGGCUCAA
Molecule: ribosomal RNA, 275 nt
Filed under: uncultured bacterium
Lineage: Bacteria
Description: partial 16S ribosomal RNA
Rfam family: Bacterial small subunit ribosomal RNA
Source: RNAcentral